This is a non-coding RNA of Coturnix japonica (Japanese quail), 1400 nucleotides long. The record is from RefSeq and is a predicted model, not a curated record. NCBI's taxonomy places the organism in Eukaryota, Metazoa, Chordata, Aves, Galliformes, Phasianidae.
GACAGAGGAUAGUGCUUGAAAAGUUAUUUUUAAAAGCAAUUCGAUAUUUUGAACAAUUUUUUUAAAGUACAAUGGCUGCUAUAAAGAGUAGGAUGGAAUGGUGUAUAGGAACUGUUGAGUUACAGCCUGAUCCAUGGAUUGAGCACCUGAGGAAAGGACCUGGUCAGCCCUGAGAGCGCAGGUGAAAGCAAUUCAUCUGUGUGAUCAGAAGGGGUGGAGCCUGGCUACACCUCUCUUAGACCUCAUUUAAGGACUGUCUGCUACUAGGGAAGGAUCUCUGGUUGGAGAUCUCUUGUGAAGUUUUCCUUGCGAGCCUGCUUUUUUGGAGAUGGAACAUAACGGGCCGUUGCACCGCUUUACCAUAUGUCUAUAUCUCUACCUGGAUCUCAGCAGUAAUUCUCUCUCAGAUCCCCAGCAAUGUACCCGUGAGGACAGGAAGAGCUCUCCACAUUAUCUUUAGAAAUUAGAGGAACAAUCAAGAAAGAAAUGAAGACCUUAAUUUUAUCCAGACAAAACAGUUAUGGAAAUAUGAAGUGGAAAAUAGCUGAAUGCGUGGCAGUUAUUCAGAAAAAGUGAUGGAAUAUUCCAGUUGUUCGCAAGAGGAGUAGGGCUUGGGAUCAAAACUGUACUUCCAGUUUCAGAGAGACCAAUAAGAAUGAUCAAUUAUCUUAAAAUACUAUCUGUGAGGCAAGCUUGCAAGAAGUAGAUUUUUUGAAGUCAAGAGAAACUUGCAUUUCUGUGGUAGGCUUCAUAGAAACCUUCGGAAGAUGAAAGGGUCUGUGCUCAUGAUGGAUAAACUUGAAGUUUGAAAGACUCAGGAUAAAUGUGAAAAGCAAUCUGCUUUGUCAGAACAAGAAAGCCUUGGAGCAGAACAUCUGAAAAGGUAUCUUAAGGGCAGGAUAGACAACAUUUGAUAAAACUGAUAUGGAAGAAGUCGCUCUGUUGCAGGACAGAAAGGUGGAACUGAUACUUCUAUUCUUCUCUGAAACUUUUUAUUGUCGUUGACCUCCACUCUUUUUUCUUUCAACAUGACAUUUCCAUGACAAUGUGUCAUGUAGCGUUUGGAACAAGAGUGUGUCAACUUCCAUUGCUAGUUCCAAAGCAGACAUCUUUUUGUCUCUGCCCACUUUUCCAUGUCUUAUUUUCCUGUUCUGGUUGCUGGCUUGCUAUCUGUAGCAUUCUGAAGUGGAACAGAAUGCAGAGAAUUAGAAGCUUUUUUAAGAGUAGGGAUGGGAAUUUUAUUUCCUGUAAACUGCAAAACAAAUUUGAGUUGAAGUAAUAAACUAGUAUAUAUACAGAUACAUUUAUAAAAAUGUAUUAAAGUAUUCCAGUGGCAAGUAUUUUAAUUGUGUUUUUGAACUGACAGAGUGGAUUUGGAAUUAAAAUGAGUUAUUUAACAA